This 1656-nucleotide ribosomal RNA is filed under the name Gymnothorax kolpos (blacktail moray). RNAcentral's name for it is "16S ribosomal RNA". It matches the Rfam family "Bacterial large subunit ribosomal RNA". Lineage: Eukaryota; Metazoa; Chordata; Actinopteri; Anguilliformes; Muraenidae. The record is from RNAcentral.
GCCAAAUAGCUAGCCUGAACGCAACUAUAAGAACUAAUUAUGAAUAACCAAACCACCCGCCCAGAAUAAAACAUUUUACCCCCUAAGUAUAGGCGAUAGAAAAGGACCUCAGAGCAAUAGAAAAAGUACCGCAAGGGAAAGCUGAAAAAGAAAUGAAAUAAUUCAACAAAGCAGAGAAAAGCAGAGACCAAACCUCGUACCUUUUGCAUCAUGAUUUAGCAAGAAAGCCCAAGCAAAGAGAACUUAAGUUUGACCCCCCGAAACCAGGAGAGCUACUCCGGGGCAGCCCAAAGGGGCACACCCGUCUCUGUGGCAAAAGAGUGGGGAGACCUCCGAGUAGAAGUGAAAAGCCUACCGAGCCUGGUGAUAGCUGGUUGUUCAGGAAAUGAAUAUAAGUUCAGCCCUAUGCCAUUCUAGUCUUACUACGAAGAGAGCAAGAAAAACAUAGGAGUUAGUCAAAAGGGGUACAGCCCUCUUGAAAAAGGACACAACCUUACCUAGGAGAAUAAGGAUCAAAAAAAACUAAGGCACCUCCCCCAGUGGGCCUAAAAGCAGCCACCUGUGAAGACAGCGUUAAAGCUCAAGCAGCACAAAGCCAAUAAUAAUAAUAAAACCAUCCUAAUUCCCUUAAAACACUGAACCCCUCUAUAAGGUUAUAGAGAAGAUAAUGCUAAAAUUAGUAAUAAGAGGGGUUAGCCCCUCUCCUCGCACAAUCGUGAGUCAGACAGGACCAACCACUGACAACUAGCGGACCCAAAAGAGGGAAUAGCAAAACACUUAAACACAAGCAAGGAAGCCCUGCCUAUGAGACCGUCACCCCGACACAGGAGUGCAUAAAGGAAAGACUAAAAGAGAGAGAAGGAACUCGGCAAACUCAAACCCCGCCUGUUUACCAAAAACAUCGCCUCUUGCUAACAAUGAAGUAUUAGAGGUCCCGCCUGCCCUGUGACAGCAGUGUUUAACGGCCGCGGUAUUUUAACCGCGCGAAGGUAGCGUAAUCACUUGUCUUUUAAAUGGAGACCUGUAUGAAUGGCAUAACGAGGGUUUAACUGUCUCCUUUCUCUGGUCAAUGAAAUUGAUCUCCCCGUGCAGAAGCGGGCAUAGCAACAUAAGACGAGAAGACCCUAUGGAGCUUUAGGCAAAUGAUCAAACGCAACAAGCCCGACCUUUAAUCAAGCCGGGAAACAAAAACCCCUGAUCAAAGUGCCUUCGGUUGGGGCGACCAUGGAGGAAAAAAGAGCCUCCAAGUGGAACGGGAAAACCCUUCAACUAAGAAGAACAACUCUAAGUACCAGAAAAUCUGACCAACAAUGACCCAGGACAGACCUGAUCAACGAACCGAGUUACCCUAGGGAUAACAGCGCAAUCCCCUCCCAGAGUCCAUAUCGACGAGGGGGUUUACGACCUCGAUGUUGGAUCAGGGCAUCCUAAUGGUGCAGCCGCUAUUAAGGGUUCGUUUGUUCAACGAUUAAUAGCCCUACGUGAUCUGAGUUCAGACCGGAGUAAUCCAGGUCGGUUUCUAUCUAUGAUCUAGCCUACCCCUAGUACGAAAGGACCGGAGUAGGGGGGCCCAUGAAAAAACAAGCCUCAACCCUACCCACUGAAGCCAUAUAAAGUGGAUAAGGGGAAAGACACAACUGCCAGAGAUAACGGCAU